This 72-nucleotide transfer RNA is filed under the name Loxodonta africana (African savanna elephant). It matches the Rfam family "tRNA". Rfam says of the family: Transfer RNA (tRNA) molecules are approximately 80 nucleotides in length. The record is from Rfam by way of RNAcentral. Lineage: Eukaryota; Metazoa; Chordata; Mammalia; Proboscidea; Elephantidae.
GUAGUGGUAGUUUAGUGGUAGAAUUCCCACCUUCCAUGCGGGAGAUCCAGGUUUGAUUCCCAGCCAAUUAUA